Molecule: non-coding RNA, 236 nt
Filed under: Viridibacillus arenosi
Lineage: Bacteria; Bacillati; Bacillota; Bacilli; Caryophanales; Caryophanaceae
Description: T-box sequence
Rfam family: T-box leader
About the family: Uncharged tRNA acts as the effector for transcription antitermination of genes in the T-box leader family. T-boxes are found upstream of many aminoacyl-tRNA synthetase genes and some amino acid biosynthetic genes usually in Gram-positive bacteria. The anticodon of a specific tRNA base pairs to a specifier sequence within the T-box motif, and the NCCA acceptor tail of the tRNA base pairs to a conserved bulge in the T-box antiterminator hairpin.
Source: RNAcentral
UGAUCACCUAUGACCGAGCAAGUAACUAUAUUUUUAAGGCUGAUAAGAGAGGAAAAGACGAGGCUGAAAUCUUUUCUACAGUACAGUAUAGUGAAUAACACUCGAGAGGUUUUUCUUCGAAAGGCAUUGGCUUAUUAGGAGAAAACGGAAUCGGCCGUUAUCCGAAUGAGAGGAUUUAGUUAUACUAGAUCAACUAGGGUGGAACCGCGGAAGCUUAUACAGCUCUCGUCCCUUGC